CCUACGGGAGGCAGCAGUGAGGAAUAUUGGUCAAUGGGCGCGAGCCUGAACCAGCCAAGUAGCGUGAAGGAUGACUGCCCUACGUGUUGUAAACUUCUUUUAUAAAGGACUAAAGUGAGGCACGUGUGCCUUUUUGUAUGUACUUUAUGAAUAAGGAUCGGUUAACUCCGUGCCAGCAGCCGCGGUAAUACGGAGAAUCCGAGCGUUAUCCGGAUUUAUUGGGUUUAAGGGGAGUGUAGCUGGGGAGUUAAGUCAGCUGUGAAAGUUUCCGGCUCAACGGGGAGAAGUCCCAUUAUACUGGGCAGGCUGGAAUGCGGAUGCCGUGGGAGGAAUGUGGGGUGUAGCGGUGAAAUGCAUAGAUAUCACACAGAACACCGAUUGCGAAGGCAUCUCACGAAGCCGCGAUUGACGCUGAUGCACGAAAGCGUGGGUAUCAAACAGGAUUAGAUACCCUUGUAGUC
This 461-nucleotide ribosomal RNA is filed under the name uncultured bacterium. RNAcentral describes it as "partial 16S ribosomal RNA". It matches the Rfam family "Bacterial small subunit ribosomal RNA", at positions 338 to 795 of the family's 1533-position model. The record is from RNAcentral.